RNAcentral lists this long non-coding RNA (9031 nucleotides) under Hordeum vulgare. Its description in RNAcentral is "long non-coding RNA (HVUL_LNC005423)". Lineage: Eukaryota; Viridiplantae; Streptophyta; Magnoliopsida; Poales; Poaceae. The record is from RNAcentral.
GAUCCGGGCGGUGGGUGUAGUGGGAAAACUGGAGGUGCGACGGGAAGAAAGAGCGGGCUCCCCUCUGAUUUUUCCAGCCGAGGUGGCGUGUACGUACGUAGUAGGGUGCUCUUGGGUCUCAUGUGACUGUGUCGUGCUGUGCAUAUGGAGCGGUUAUUACGCUGGAUUCGAUCGGAUAACAGUGCGGGUUAUCGUGCGCUGUCUGCUCGUCGAUGUACGUAGAGAGCAUGUGUGUGGCCAUUAAGACCAUGGAAAGCGGUACCCUCUCUUUUGCAUUGCAGUAGUACUAUCGGCGAAAGACCAAGGAAAAGGAGGCCGGCAUUGUACUGAAUUUGUAGCCACUUCCAAAAGUGUAGUGCAUUCAUUGUAGCGCAUGAUGCUAUGAAUAUCCUUUCACCGCUCGGUAACAAGUACUCCGUUUCUAAAUAUAAGUCUUUUUUAGAGUUUUUCACUAGUAAACUACAUACAAAAUAAAAUGAGUGAAUCAACACUCUAAAGCAUGUCUAUAUACAUCUGUAUGUAGUUUUCUAGUGCAAACUCUAAAAAGACUUAUAUUUAGGAACGGAGGGAGUAUAUACUGUCAAUUGGCGGCUCCUCACACAAACACACAUUUUUGUGUGAUUGUUAGCAAGGACUACAGCCGGCGUAAAACAGACGGAACCAGCCGAUGUAAAAUGUUUCGUUCGCUAAAAACCCUCGUUGCCUUCGAGAUCCCAGGUCAUCGCCCUUGACUCUUCGAACGCCGCCACCUCUAGGAUUCGCAGCCGUCGACACAAUUUACCCUGUCGUCGUCGCCGUAGCUGAACCGCCACCAAGCUAGGGUACGGUUCGAUCUCCUUUGCAUUCCCCGUCUCAUUCUUACGCAUUGGGACAGUUUUUUCUUCGAGCCACCAUGUGCAAACCCUUCCUUCCACCAGAUAAACCUCGUAGAGUAGAAGAAGUAGAAAUUCUAGAUCUGAUCUUCCGCAGCAUGCAACUCGGCGAGACCGAAUUUGCAAAAUUGGUUCCAUCGAUUCCUGUUUUAGGGUUCCUGAGAGGAAACUCGGUGAGACCGAGCAACUCUUUUCGCUGCCACCGAAAAUGACUGCCAAGUUCCUGUUAAGCGAGUAAGCCUUCUAGGUGACUCCGAAAAUGCCAACUCGGUGCCACCGAUUUACAUCCUGUAGAAGAUCAUACCCUGAGUUUCAAAACUUCAAAUUUUAAAAAACAUCUAAAUUUUGUGAUGCUCAUGCAUUCUGUCUUUCCUAUAUCCACUUCACAGGUUCUGUUGUUUGAUGUUGAGUGUGUCUGUCAGCAUGUCAAGUUCAGAUGAUAGUCAGAAUGACUUCAGAGAGCAGAGUGUCGAGAUGGACUCAGGCACUAGUCCAGAGAAGAUUGCUUCAGACCCUAGCUCUCCCAGUUCCAUGGCUUGCCCAAGGCAGCCACCAGGCAAAGGAGGAAGAUAGUUUCUGAUGAGGAAGACUCAGACUUUUUGCCCGAAGAAACAUCAGCCCCUCCUAAGGCUCCUCCAAGGAAAGUUGUCAGGAAGAUAUCUGUCAGUGCUGCUGAUCUAAGAGCACCUGAUUAUGCCAAGAAGGGCAAAGCAAUUGCCAAGGAUGCACCUACAAAGAAGGUUGGUGUGAAGAGGCCCAGGAAGAGAACUAUCCAUCUUGUUGGCAGAAAGACUUCUAUGUUUGAAGACCCAGAAGAAGCCGAGGAAGAAUCUCCUAAGGAGAUCCCAGUUCCUCCCAAGAAGAAGAAGUUGAUGGGUGAUGCAAUGAAGUCUGCUCAAAAGCCUGGUGCUAAAGCAAAGAAGGUUGUAGCUUCCAAGAAGACCGCCAAAUAUAUACCUGCAACUGCUAAGAGCAAAGGCCAUGCAUCUGGGGCCCAUGCUGCAGAAGAGGAAGAAGAUGAGAAUGCUUCAGUUCUCAGGAAGCUCAGACCAUACCUUCCACUCCACAAUGAUGCUCAUCCUGUAGCAGAAGACAUGAAGAAGAGGAAGGAUGCCGGAUUAAGAAAGUGGAGAGCUGCUGAUCCAUAUGUUGCCAGAAGACAAACUGUUGUUGAUCCAAGGUUUCUCACCAAGGAGCAACAAGAUUUUUAUGAGACUAUCUUGUAUGAAAAGAGUCCUGCUGUCAGUGGUGUGAGGUAUGUCGACUGGGCAUACAUCAAGGACAUUGAGAAUUUCUUUCCACAUGUUCAAGAGAACUUCAGGCUUGUUGACAUAGAAGAUUUUGUUGGGAAGGAGAUGACCCCAUGGAAUGACGAGAUGAUCACGCAAUUCUAUGCAACCGCUCAUUUCUAUGAUGUCUCUUUAGUUUAGAUGACCGAUGGACACAGGUACGACGCUACAAUUGCUGAAUGGGAUGCUAUCAUUGGUGUUCCCAAAUAGGAAGAAGCAGAUAUAGAUGUGUAUGCAGAUGCUAAGCAAAAUCACAACUCCAUGGCCAAUAUGUACAAGACCAUUCCACAUCAGUAUUUGACCAGUCACAAGGUUGGUUCAGUAUAUUUUCUGCAAGCUGGUAUUCCCACAACAAACAUUAUACUGCGAUACACUCUCAUGCCUAAGUCAGGAGAUGAGAAGAUGAAUAGAGGAUAUUCAAUCAACCUGCUGCACCUACUUUAUACCCAUACCAGAUUUAGAGUGAUGGACUUGAUAGUUGAGUCUAUCCGAAGGACUGCUGUGGAUCAGAAGAGAUCAUGUGGAUAUGCACCCUAUAUUCAGAUGCUCAUCAAUGCCAAGCUAGGCAAGCAUGCAUAUCAACUUGAUCGUCCCCAUCUACCUCUUCAGCCUGAAUUUGAAGACAAUGGGGUUGUGAUGGAUGACAAUGAUCCCAACUCAGUUGCAACAAGAAUGACAGCAGAGGCAGCAGAGGCUGGAGCUGCUAGAAAUAGGUCACCUCUAGUUCCAUAGCUCAAAACUCAAGCUGAGAAAAUGACAUUUCUAGUGAGCACUGUCCAAGGCAUGGAGAAGAACAUUUAGGAGAUUAUGCAAAAUCAGAAGAGCCUUGAGAGAGUUGUGGAGAAAAAAAAUCCACAACAUGGAUUUGAAGGUAACUAAGUUGACCACCAUUGUCACACAGCUUCAACAUGAAGUUGACUCUGUGGAGAUUCCACGCUCAAAGGAUGAAGAUGAAGAUGAUGAUGAUGACGAGGAUGAGUCUGCUCCUCUCACUACCACUAGGUUCAGCACCCAGCCUCGGUCAAUUGAUGUUCCUGCUCCGGAGACAAGACAUACAUCUUCAGCACAAGCUUCAGCACCUUCAGCACCAGCUCCACCUCAAGCUCCUUCAGUAUCAACUCCUCCAGCUCCAGGGACGUCAGCAGAAGCCUUCACCGACGCUGUUUUAUCGACUCCAUCAUCAGCUGCCUAGAGAGACGAGUAGUUCUAUACUUUUGAACUUUUUGGUAACUUGUUGCCAAAGGGGGGAUGCAUAGAUCAUAGACUUCGUGUGAGAGAGAGAUUUUGACUUUAUUUUCUCUCGUUUGGUUUUUAAAAACUUUGGUGUUUUGACGACUUUAUCCUAUCUGUGUGUGUGAUCAUACACUUUAUCCUGUCUGAUGCUACUAUAUCAUCUUUUACUAUCUUUGUGAUGAUCACCCACUUACCUUGUUGGUGUCAUGUGCCUUACUUUUACUUUUACGCACCACCAAGAUCUAUGUGACAUGGAAGAGUAACCCAUGAUCCUAAUCGAUUGUGCAUUUGCAUUCAAAUGUAAAUUUUAAAUAAUGCACAAAUUUAGGGGGAGCUCUUGCUUUUCACAUACUUCUCCAAGCGUCGAUGCUAAUCAUUGAUUAUAUCUUUUGUCGAAGUUUUUAUCUAUAUGUUGUCAUCAAUUACCAAAAAGGGGGAGAUUGAAAGCACAAUUUCUCCCUAGGGUGGUUUUGAUAAUUGAUCACAACAUAUGCAUCAUUGGACUAAUGUGUUUUCCAAGUAUAUUUCAGAAAAGUUCAAAAGAUGUUUUGGCUUAAGGUUUAUGUGGAGAUACCCCUCGAUACAAGAAAGGAAUAAUAUUGGCUCAAGCUUCAAGCUAGAAGACACUUCAUUUUAUAUUUAUGAUAAAUCAUUUUUGAGUACAUAGGAAAGCCAAUACUAUUAAAAGGGGUGAGGUAGUAAAAUGAACUGAUUGCUCAAAUGCUCGAAGUUAGCCACCAAAACACUCAGUCACUUUUCCCACAUAUCCACUCUGUCAAGUUCCACAUACAUAAAUUCGGUGUAACCAACAUUGCCACUUUGGACCCACCGAGUUUGAACCUCAUACAGAACCCUAGCAAUUUCCACCAAAUUGGUGCAACCGAAACUGCAUCGGUGCUACCGAGUUCAGUGUGACCAACAUUCUGUUGCCAAGAUACACAAAAUCGGAAUUUCCGAGUUUGAGUAUUGGUGCCACCUAGUUUGGUCAUCUGAGCGUUAGCCACCUUUUCGGUGCCAUCGAGUUCUAUAUAUCGGUCUCACCGAGAUUCAAAGUUCAUGUUGGGGAACGUUGCAUGGGAAACAAAAAAUUUCCUACGCACACGAAGACCUAUCAUGGUGAUGAUCAUCUACCAGAGGGAGAUCGGAUCCACAUACCCUUGUAGACCGCUGCUAAGGCGACAGAGAUCUUCUGUUGACUCUUGAGCUUGCAUUGGUUUUUUUCCCUUGAAGAGGAAAGGGCGAUGCAGCACAGGAGCAGUAAGUAUUUCCCUCGGUUUGAGAACCAAGGUAUCAAUCCAGUAGGAGAAUCUCAUCAAGUCCAGAGUACGUGCACAAACACAAAAGAGCUUGCACCCAACGCUAUAAAGGGGUUGUCAAUCCCUUCAAGAUUGAUUGCAAAGUGAGAUCUGAAGGCAGAACAUGCAACGAAGUAAAAGAGUAAGGCUGAAAAUAUGGUGUGGAGUAGACCCGGGGGCCAUAGUGUUCACUAGAGGCUUCUCUCAAAAUAGCAAAUAUUACGGUGGGUGAACAAAUUACUGUCGAGCAAUUGAUAGAACGGCGCAAAGUCAUGACGAUAUCUAAGGCAAUGAUCAUACAUAUAGGCAUCACGUCCGAGACAAGUAGACCGAUACUUUCUGCAUCUACUACUAUUACUCCACACAUCGACCGCUAUCCAGCAUGCAUCUAGUGUAUUGAGUUCAUGACGAACAGAGUAACGCUUUAAGCAAGAUCACAUGAUGUAGAGGGAUAAUCUCAAACCAAUGAUGAAAACCCAUCUUUUUACCCUUGAUGGCAACAACAUGAUGCGUGCCUCGCUACCGCUUCUGUCACUGAGUGUGGUCACCGCACGGUAUGAACCCAAAACCAAGCACUUCUCCCAUUGCAAGAAUCAUAGAUCUAGUUGGCCAAACAAAACCCACAACUCGAAGAUAAUUACAAGGAUAUGUAAUCAUGCAUAAGAGAGAUCAGAAGAAACUCAAAUAAGAUUGAUAGAUAAUCUGAUCAUAAAUCCACAAUUCAUCGAAUCUCGACAAACACACCGCAAAAGAAGAUUACAUCGGAUAGAUCUCCAUGAAGAUUAUGGAGAACUUUGUAUUGAAGAUCCAAGAGAGAGAAGAAGCCAUCUAGCUACUAGCUAUGGACCCGUAGGUCUAUGGUGAACUACUCACGCAUCAUCGGAGAGGUCAUGGUGUUGAUGAAGAAGCCCUCCAUAUCCGAAUCUCCCCUCCGACAGGGCACCAGAACGUGCCCCAGAUGGGAUCUUGCGGAGACAGAAGCUUGCGGCGGCGGAAAAGUACUUUCGAUGAUCUCCUGAUUUUUUCUGGGAUUUUAGGGAAUUUAUAGGCGAAAGACCUUGGGCAGAGGAGUCCCAGGGAGCCCACAAGCCUGGAAGGCACGUGCCCCCCUGGCCGCGGCUAGGGGGCUUGUGGGUUCCCCGGUGACCUCCUGCCCUGAUUCUCAGGCUUCCCGAUCUUUUUCUGUUUCGGAAAAAAUAUUUUUGGCAGUUUCGCUCCGUUUGGACUCCGUUUAAAAUCCUCCUCUAAAAGGGGUCAAAAAUAUGAAAAAAACAGGAGCUGGCACUUGGCAGUGAGUUAAUAAGUUAGUCCCAAAAAAUAUAUAAAAGGCAUACAAAACAUCCAAAGUUUGACAAGAUAAUAGCAUGAAAUCAUCAAAAAUUAUAGAUACGUUGGAGACGUAUCAACCGCUAAGCGGGAAGCGUUAAGAAACGCGGUUGAUGUAGUGGAACGUCUUCGCUAUCCAAAUCGCCGCCGUCACAUGAUCCGUCCCGACCUAGCGCCGAACGGACGACACCUCCGCGUUGAGCACACGUACAGCUCGACGAUGAUCUCCGCCUUCUUGAUCCAGCAAGAGGGGUGUAGAGGUAGAUGAGUUCUCUAGCAGUGCAACAGUGAUGGUGGUGGAGCUAGUCCAGCCGGGCUUCGCCUAAGCACCGCUGAAAACUAGACUAGAGGAGAAACGGAUGUAGAGAGAGGGCAGCGCGUGGCUGAUUAUUGUGUCUCAAAAACCCUCAAAACCUCUAGUAUAUAUAGGAGGAGAGGAUAGGAGGCUGCCUUGGCCCCUCCUCCAAGGAGUGGGGUCGGCUGAACCAAAGGAAGAGUCCACCUUCCUUGUGGGAAGGUGGACUACUUUGGGAGGACUGCUCCUUUUCGUUCCUUUUAAAAGUUCUUUGCCUUUUAUCUCUUCUCCUAGCCACAUGGGCCUUCGAGAGAGGCUUUGGCCAGCCCACCAGGGGCUGGUCCACCUCUUCGCACAGCCCGUAAGGCUCAUGGGUCGUCACACCCCUCCCGGUGGUCCCUCGGCACUCCUAGUACACUACCGAUGAGUCCGAAACUUUUCCGAUGACCAAAACAUGACUUCCUAUAUAUCAAUAUUUACCUCUGGACCAUUCCGGAUCUCCUCGUGACGUCCAGGAUCUCAUCCGGGACUCCGAAAAACCUUCAGUCACAACACCUAUAACUCAACCAUACCAAAACGUCAUCGAACCUUAAGUGUGCAGACCCUACAGGUUCGAGAACUAUGCAAACAUGACCGAGACACUCUCCGGUCAAUAUCCAAUAGCGGGACCUAGACGUCCAUAUUGGAUCCUACAUAUUCUACGAAGAUCUCAUUGGUUGAACCUCUAUGUCAAGGAUUCACACAAUCAUGUAUAUCAUUCCUUUGUCCUUCGGUAUGUUACUUGCACGAGAUUCGAUCGUCGGUAUCGACAUACUUAUUUCAAUAUCGUUACCGACAAGUCUCUUUACUUGUUCCGUAAUACAAGAUCCCGUGGAUAACUCUUUAGUCACAUUGCUUGCAAGGCUUAUUUGUGAUGUUGUAUUACCGAGCGGGUCCUGAGAUACCUCUCCGUCACACGGAGUGACAAAUCCCAGUCUUGAUCCAUGCUAACUCAACGUACACCUUCAGAGAUACCUGUAGAGCACCUUUAUAGUCACCCCGUAACGUUGCGAUGUUUGAUACACACAAGGCAUUCCUCCGAUGUCAGUAAGUUACAUGAUCUCAUGGUCAUAGGAAUGUAUACUUGACAUGCAUAAAACAAUAGCAACAAAAUGACACGAUCAUAUGCUACGUUUAUAGUUUGGGUCUUGUCCAUCACAUCAUUCUCCUAAUGAUGUGAUCUCGUUAUCAAGUGACAACACUUGUCUAUGGCUGGGAAACCUUAACCAUCCUUGAUCAACGAGCUAGUCAACUAGAGGCUUACUAGGGACAUUGUUUUGUCUAUAUAUCCACACAUGCAUUUAUGUUUCCAUUCAAUACAAUUAUAGCAUGGAUAAUAAACAAUUAUCUUGAAACAUGGAAUAUAAUAAUAACUAUUUUAUUAUUUCCUUUAGGGCAUAUUUCCAACAGUUCACACUUUUAGUAGUAGUCGGUACCACCAAGUUGUCCACUUCGGUGUCACCGAGUUUGCACUUUUGUGUGUAACGGUAGGAUUUUGGGUGGUGCCUAUAUAUACCCCUUCUCCCACAUCUCAUUCGUAGGAGAAGCACUCUGAACGCACACUUCAUUUCCAGAUCCAUUUUCUGAGAGAGGACCACCUACACAUGUGUUGAGACCAAGAUAUUCCAAUCCAAUCCUUUGAAACUUGAUCUCUAGCCUCCCCAAACUGCUUUCCACCAAAUCAACCUCUCCUACUCAUGCAUAUUCAGUGAGAGUGUGAUUUGUGUUGAGGAGACUAUAUUUAGAAGCACAAGAGCAAGGAGUUCGUUGAUCUACCACAUCUAUUACCUUUUGGAGGGUGGUGCCUCCUAGAUUUGUUAGGAGUCGCUUGGGAGCCUCCUACUGUGUGUUGUGGAGUUGAACCAAGAUGUUUGUAAGGGCAAGGAGAUCGCCUACUUCAUGAAGAUCUAUCGUGAGUGAGGCUAGUCGUGUGUGGACGAAAGCCGUGGUGGAAUAGACAAGGCCGCUUCUUUGUGGACCCCUUGUGGGUGGAGCCCUGUGUGGGAUCUCGCAGCCCUUACCCUCCGUGGGUUGAAGUCUCCACUAACAUGGACGUACGAUGGCGCCACCUAUCAGAACCAUGCCAAAAAUCACCGUGUCAACCUCAUGCGUUUGAUCUCCCUACCUUACUCCUCUACUUUACACUUGCAUGUUUUACUUUCCGCUGAUAUACUAUUAGAACUGCAUGUGUAGGGUGUACUUGACCUGUUAUAACUCCAUAGCUGCCUCUUAAGUAAAAUUAGGAAAAGACAAAAAUUUUAUCUUGUCAAGUAGUCUAAUCACCCCCCUCCUCUAGACAUACUUUCGAUCCUACAACCCUCUUCCCCAAAAGACUGGCAUGAUAGUAUGUGAUAGCUCCGCUCUAACAACUUGUGCUCUGCCUUGUCCCACAAUCGAUGUGGGACUAACUCAACAAUUUCUCUCUCACAUAUCGAUCAUCAUGGCCCCACUGAUACUAGUGUGUACAACUCAUUAAUCAUGACUUGUCACCCAUGAAUUCAUCAAGAUUUAUUUCUCGCACUUGAGCCCUAAUACCCGAUUGUUGACAGAGAUCCCAACUCCUCUUGUAAUUUUCAACACGAUGUAGCUCCCUACCUGGUCGGGUACUUUCCAGCCGAGUAAUGAAGCUAAGGGUCGGUUGGGCGGCUUAAAAAUAAACUGCCUCUUCCCAGCUUAAAAAAA